GGCAGUUCUUGGGUGACAUACCCUGGAAUCGGGCUCCCUCCUCUCUGGUUCCAGGGUGCGUCACCGGAGUACCGCA
This is a non-coding RNA of Myotis lucifugus (little brown bat), 76 nucleotides long. The record is from Rfam. NCBI's taxonomy places the organism in Eukaryota, Metazoa, Chordata, Mammalia, Chiroptera, Vespertilionidae.